UGCCAGCCGCCGCGGUAAUACGGAGGGUGCGCGCGUUAAUCGGAAUUACUGGGCGUAAAGCGCGCGUAGGCGGUUUUGUAAGUCGGAUGUGAAAUCCCUGGGCUUAACCUGGGAACUGCAUUCGAUACUGCAUAACUAGAGUAUGGUAGAGGGAAGUGGAAUUUCCGGUGUAGCGGUGAAAUGCGUAGAUAUCGGAAGGAACAUCAGUGGCGAAGGCGACCUCCUGGACUGAUAUUGACGCUGAGGUGCGAAAGCGUGGGGAGCAAACAGGAUUAGAUA
Molecule: ribosomal RNA, 279 nt
Filed under: uncultured bacterium
Lineage: Bacteria
Description: partial 16S ribosomal RNA
Rfam family: Bacterial small subunit ribosomal RNA
Source: RNAcentral